This 549-nucleotide ribosomal RNA is filed under the name Brachybacterium sp. Its description in RNAcentral is "bacterial SSU rRNA". It matches the Rfam family "Bacterial small subunit ribosomal RNA", at positions 242 to 803 of the family's 1533-position model. Lineage: Bacteria; Bacillati; Actinomycetota; Actinomycetes; Micrococcales; Dermabacteraceae. The record is from RNAcentral.
CAGCUUGUUGGUGAGGUAGUGGCUCACCAAGGCGUUGACGGGUAGCCGGCCUGAGAGGGCGACCGGCCACACUGGGACUGAGACACGGCCCAGACUCCUACGGGAGGCAGCAGUGGGGAAUAUUGCACAAUGGGCGAAAGCCUGAUGCAGCGACGCCGCGUGAGGGAUGACGGCCUUCGGGUUGUAAACCUCUUUCAGCAGGGAAGAAGCGAGAGUGACGGUACCUGCAGAAGAAGCGCCGGCUAACUACGUGCCAGCAGCCGCGGUAAUACGUAGGGCGCAAGCGUUGUCCGGAAUUAUUGGGCGUAAAGAGCUUGUAGGUGGCUUGUCGCGUCUGCCGUGAAAACCCGAGGCUCAACCUCGGGCGUGCGGUGGGUACGGGCAGGCUAGAGUGUGGUAGGGGAGACUGGAACUCCUGGUGUAGCGGUGAAAUGCGCAGAUAUCAGGAAGAACACCGAUGGCGAAGGCAGGUCUCUGGGCCAUUACUGACACUGAGAAGCGAAAGCAUGGGGAGCGAACAGGAUUAGAUACCCUGGUAGUCCAUGCCGU